This 301-nucleotide ribosomal RNA is filed under the name uncultured bacterium. RNAcentral describes it as "partial 16S ribosomal RNA". It matches the Rfam family "Bacterial small subunit ribosomal RNA", at positions 510 to 808 of the family's 1533-position model. The record is from RNAcentral.
CGUCGCCGCGGGAACACGAAGGGUGCAAGCGUUACUCGGAAUUACUGGGCGUAAAGCGUGCGUAGGUGGUGGUUUAAGUCCGUUGUGAAAGCCCUGGGCUCAACCUGGGAAUUGCAGUGGAUACUGGGUCACUAGAGUGUGGUAGAGGAUAGUGGAAUUUCCGGUGUAGCAGUGAAAUGCGUAGAGAUCGGAAGGAACAUCUGUGGCGAAGGCGACUAUCUGGGCCAACACUGACACUGAGGCACGAAAGCGUGGGGAGCAAACAGGAUUAGAUACCCCUGUAGUCCCUGUCUCUUAUACA